RNAcentral lists this ribosomal RNA (106 nucleotides) under Pteropus alecto (black flying fox). Lineage: Eukaryota; Metazoa; Chordata; Mammalia; Chiroptera; Pteropodidae. The record is from RNAcentral.
GUCUAUGGCCAUGCUACCCUGAACAAGCCCAAUCCCAUCUGAUUUCAGAAGCUAAGCAGGGAGUACUUGGAUGGGAGACCACUUAGGAAGCCAGGUGCUGUAGGCA